CCUACGGGUGGCUGCAGUAGGGAAUCUUCGGCAAUGGACGAAAGUCUGACCGAGCAACGCCGCGUGAGUGAAGAAGGUUUUCGGAUCGUAAAACUCUGUUGUUAGAGAAGAAUGUUGAUUAGAGUGGAAAAUUAAUCAAGUGACGGUAUCUAACCAGAAAGGGACGGCUAACUACGUGCCAGCAGCCGCGGUAAUACGUAGGUCCUGAGCGUUGUCCGGAGUUAUUGGGCGUAAAGUAAGAAGAGGGAUGUAAAAGGCAGUGGCUCAACCAUUGUGUGCAUUGGAAACUGUUAGACUUGAGUGCAGUAGAGGAGAGUGGAAUUCCAUGUGUAGCGGUGAAAUGCGUAGAUAUAUGGAGGAACACCGGUGGCGAAAGCGGCUCUCUGGACUGUCACUGACACUGAGGCUCGAAAGCGUGGGUAGCAAACAGGAUUAGAUACCCCAGUAGUC
RNAcentral lists this ribosomal RNA (450 nucleotides) under uncultured bacterium. RNAcentral's name for it is "partial 16S ribosomal RNA". It matches the Rfam family "Bacterial small subunit ribosomal RNA", at positions 338 to 795 of the family's 1533-position model. The record is from RNAcentral.